Molecule: non-coding RNA, 760 nt
Organism: Struthio camelus australis
Lineage: Eukaryota; Metazoa; Chordata; Aves; Struthioniformes; Struthionidae
Source: RefSeq, a predicted model, not a curated record
ACUUCUUAAAAACCUGCUUCUGGAUGUUACAAAAGUUUUUAAAUGAGUGAUGAGAUUACUCAAGAAAGAACGAACUCUGAUCAGCUUACUGAAGAGUGUUGGAAAAAACAGCUAAUUACUGUGUGGCACCUCCAAAUCCAGAAUAAUCUGGGCUUCGAAAGACCCUUCACACUAUGGCUGCGUCCAUAGGAGGAUGGAGUCGGAUGUUGCAAACUGAGAAGUGUUUCUCAUCAGAGGGGUGGCAGGAGCAAAUGCAAUAGCAGUAGCUGCAGAGAACACCUCUGUCAUCACACGCUCCGGGCUACAGGGGAUGGCUUUCCUUACUGCUCUUAAUAAACAUCUACCUUGGUCCACUAGAAGAACUGGUCUGUAAGCCUAUCUGAAUUUCCGCAUCUGGAAAGGCUCAUGUUGUCUGUCAUGUUAGUGCACUGGGACAAGACUUCUGAUGGAAAUACUUAAUUCUCAGAGCGGUGCUGGAUAAUGAGGGGACGUGCCAAACGAGUGAUGCCUAUAAGCUAUGAAAGAUGAUGAAAGUGGGUAAAGAAGUAUCUAGAUAACAUCAAGGCAUUUACUAUAAGUGAAGAUCAUAAAAUUGCCCUGGCAGAGGAGGAGAAAACGCAAAAGUAUUUGGCAGGCUUUUGCGGAUCCUUCUCCUUGCCAAUGGCUGUGAAAACGAAUGCUUCUUGCAGCAUGUCCUGGGGAGCAGCACCCAGCGAUCCCAGCUAGCACAGGAGAGAGGCUCAAGCCCCAGCCUGCAGGC